This 252-nucleotide ribosomal RNA is filed under the name uncultured bacterium. RNAcentral's name for it is "partial 16S ribosomal RNA". It matches the Rfam family "Bacterial small subunit ribosomal RNA", at positions 525 to 776 of the family's 1533-position model. The record is from RNAcentral.
ACGGAGGAGGCAAGCGUUAUCCGGAAUUAUUGGGCGUAAAGAGUCCGUAGGUGGUCAUUCAAGUCUGCUGUUAAAGACAGAAGCUCAACUUCUGAUAGGCAGUGGAAACUGAAAGACUAGAGUAUGGUAGGGGUAGAGGGAAUUCCCAGUGUAGCGGUGAAAUGCGUAGAGAUUGGGAAGAACACCGGUGGCGAAAGCGCUCUACUGGGCCAAAACUGACACUGAGGGACGAAAGCUAGGGUAGCGAAAGGG